RNAcentral lists this transfer RNA (72 nucleotides) under Ignavibacteria bacterium. RNAcentral's name for it is "tRNA-Lys". It matches the Rfam family "tRNA". Rfam says of the family: Transfer RNA (tRNA) molecules are approximately 80 nucleotides in length. Their secondary structure includes four short double-helical elements and three loops (D, anti-codon, and T loops). The record is from RNAcentral. Lineage: Bacteria; Pseudomonadati; Ignavibacteriota; Ignavibacteria.
GGGACCGUAGCUCAGGGGUAGAGCAUCUGCCUUUUAAGCAGAGGGUCGGUGGUUCGAUCCCACCCGGUCUCA